GGUGGCGGAACUGGUUUACGCGUACGACUCAAAAUCGUAUGGGAGAGAUCCCAUGUGGGUUCGAGUCCCACCCGCGGCA
This 79-nucleotide transfer RNA is filed under the name Candidatus Nealsonbacteria bacterium CG11_big_fil_rev_8_21_14_0_20_39_9. RNAcentral describes it as "tRNA-Leu". It matches the Rfam family "tRNA". Rfam says of the family: Transfer RNA (tRNA) molecules are approximately 80 nucleotides in length. Their secondary structure includes four short double-helical elements and three loops (D, anti-codon, and T loops). The record is from RNAcentral. Lineage: Bacteria; Candidatus Nealsoniibacteriota.